Non-coding RNA from Lolium perenne, 2668 nucleotides. The record is from RefSeq and is a predicted model, not a curated record. Lineage: Eukaryota; Viridiplantae; Streptophyta; Magnoliopsida; Poales; Poaceae.
CGUGCUCUCUUUUUCCACGAAAUUCUAUCUAUAAAUAACCCACACCUGUGCACACUUUAUCCCGCAAAAACCCUAACCAAUCCCGCCGCCAGGCUGACGAUUUUGCUCGCCGGAGUCCGUCUCUGCCGUCGCCGUAUUUCUCUCGAUUCCGACGAGUAUUCAAGGUUUUUCUGCCCCCGUUUGGUCCCUAUUUGAUCAGCUUGUUCUUGCGCAUCUUCUCCACUUCUUUUUCGUUUUCUUUUUCCUCGCAGCGUAGCGCUGACGCCGAAGAAAUCUGAGGUUGCCGCAGCCUUGGCAACUCCGUCCGAAGAACGCCGGCAACUCAGGGCCUCCGAGGCAACGCCCUGUAUGCAGUCGACCCCUUCAUCUUCGUCCGCUUCACGUCGACCUCGCCACCACCGCCGACGACCACUAGAACGACGGGAACUAUCACCUCGACUGGAUCACACCGGAGCAGCACCACCUCCGGCCGUCCUCGUCGUUGUUACACGGAAGAGAUCGAGACCGCCGGCCUCAACACCGAGCUCUGCGCGAAGAGCUGGUUCCCGUGGACAUUUUCCCUGAGCCAGGACACCACCGGAGAGGGGACAUGGACCGCGCGCGAUCACGCCAGUGUCUCCUUCGUCAACAUUUGUACGGAGAGAUACGAGUUUUGAUUGAGAGAAGUGCAGAAUUCUCCAGAUACCAAAAAGGCAAGUGUCACACACUGUUCUAUCCUAUUAUUUUUGUAUGCACAUUGUAGUUAUUUUCAGUAGCUAUGUAUGUGUAGGAGUUUUUCAAAUUAUAUAUUGCUAUGCCAAUAAACCUAUCUAGGAUAGCCAUAUGAUUUCAUGCUUUAUUCUUUGUCGCCACCGUACUGUAGUAUGCUUAGCGUUGCUAUUGUAGAUGCGUGGCUGGGAUUUCAUGAUGUGAUAUGUGGUAUGGUGAAAGUAUUGUUUUAUGUAAUAAAACAACCUAAGAUAAUGAAUCAUCUGGGUGGAAGUGGUUUGCUUGGUUUAUGUUGAGUGGUUACAACGGAGUCAUGUCUAUGGCGGUCGUGUGUAUCACACUUGUGGAUGGCCACCCAGAAACAAAGAGAUUUGACAGGUUUCUUGUUUAGUAGCUUCCGUGUACAGCCGCAUGUCAUAUGGGCUCUGGCUUGACUAAGUAGGUUGUAGGAACCCGACCUGACGUGACUAGAAGAUGUAGAUGUGUAGGUUGGCAUGGGUCCGUCCAGAUGGCUCGGGGUACUACUUCUGAAAACGGUCUCGACUUAGUCUUUUCCCGACCAUUUGAGCAAAUUGAGCAUCAUGGUAAAAGGGGAUGACUAGGUCAUGUGGGUAAAGUGUACAAUCCUCUCGAGAGUGUCAAACUAAGUAUUUAGCCGUGUCCCCGGUUACGGACAACUAUGAGCAACUAGGCAUGUUACUGUUUGGAAGAUCUCAUCAUUCCAAUUUCUUAAUAAAAUUUGAUGGGGCAAACAAUGGGUUUAGGAGCAUGCAAAGCUAGGUUGUCUUGUGUUUACAUGGGCCUAUGCUAGCAUGUCCGUAGAUGUUUAGGAGCAUAUGAAGCUAACUGUCUUGCGACGGCAUGGGUUAUGCUAAUAUGUUCCUAGACGAUGAUCUUUAAAGAAUAAAAAAAUGUUUGUAAAGGAUAGGGAAACUAUUGCUUUUCGCAAAAGAGCCUAAACUCCACCUGCCAAAUGAGCACGUAGUUGUUAGGCGCCAUUUAUAUAUCCACCAAAUAGUGACAUUUGCCAAUACAAUUCCAAAUGUAUUGACCCUGCGUGGCUGCAACGUUUUAUGUUACAGAUAUUUUGAUGAACGAGUCAGGUUCGAUGGUUAGGGUUACGAGUCUAUACUCGACAUGCUCGCCUGUGGCACAUGAAGACGAAGGACUCCAUGCUGAUAUGUUUCGUUGUAAACUCUGAUAUAAUGCUAGCUUCGGGCUAUGCAAUUUGUAAUGUUACUUUGUAAUUACUGGAUCAUGCGAUGUAAUAAAGACCUUUGUUUCUUGGUAUUACAUCUUAAACUGUGUGUGCUAGCGAUUGAUCCAGGGACUAGCACUACUAUGCACAGAGAUUCAACCCGUACCGGGUCGGAUCGUUACAGAUGGUAUCAGAGCAUUGUGUUGACUGUAGGUUCGUGACCCUAGGUUUGGAAUAGUAAUUGGAUGACCUUAGGAUGAAAAAUCUAUUUAGUCCAGUUUUUAUUAAAAAGAUCAUGCAUUUUGAACUUCUUGUAUUCUCAUCUAUUUCACCUUCGAAAGAAUUUCCUCUUACCUUAGAUGGCCUAACUCUUGAAAUCCAUCAAGGAAGGACUAAUGAUGACCAUGUCCCUUAAGUGUGAAGACCGAUGCUUCAUAUGUUAUUAUUCGACUCAGCAUGGUGCAACUUCAUGGAAGGCCAACGAAGAACUUGGAGAAUACCUCGAUGCAUCCUUGACAACCCCAAAGAUACAUCAUAACAGUAGAAGAAGUUGUAGCAUUGAAUCCAGAAAUAGAAUAGACCACCACUUAUUACACCAACGAUAUUGCAAUAGCGUUAUGAUCAUACUAACUUGUGGUAUGACCAUACUAGAUUUUUUGUGUGUGUUUGAACUAGUUUGCUUGAUGUGAUGAAUGCUUGUUAGAUCUUGUUUGUAUGAUGAAUUGCCUUGAUCUGUCGGUUUAAGGGUAGGAAUCUUCUUUA